This 352-nucleotide ribosomal RNA is filed under the name uncultured bacterium. Its description in RNAcentral is "partial 16S ribosomal RNA". It matches the Rfam family "Bacterial small subunit ribosomal RNA", at positions 338 to 687 of the family's 1533-position model. The record is from RNAcentral.
CCUACGGGGGGCAGCAGUGAGGAAUAUUGGUCAAUGGGCGCGAGCCUGAACCAGCCAAGUAGCGUGAAGGAUGACUGCCCUACGGGUUGUAAACUUCUUUUAUAAAGGAAUAAAGUGAGGCACGUGUGCCUUUUUGUAUGUACUUUAUGAAUAAGGAUCGGCUAACUCCUUGCCAGCAGCCGCGGUAAUACGGAGGAUCCGAGCGUUAUCCGGAUUUAUUGGGUUUAAGGGGAGCGUAGAUGGUUUGUUAAGUCAGUUGUAAACGUGUGCGGCUCAAACGUAAAAUUGCAAUUGUUACUGGCAGUCUGAAGGACAGUUGAGGGAGGCGGAAUUCGUGGUGUAGCGGUGAAAU